AAUUCGACAGAUUUUCUCUUCCAACUGAUGUGAUGUAUCAAGAUGAGCAACAAAAGAAGAAUCCCAAGAUAAUCACGUAAUUAUGUUAGGAGAGAUUCUCAGUUCGAUCUAAUCCUGUCUAAACAGGCUGAAAGAAAUUAGUCACUCAGAAUUAUAUAAAAGGCUCUAUUGAGGCUUGCAAUGGUAAACAACAGACCCUGGAGUAUGGGGACAACACCAAGGUACUGCCAUACUUGAGGAGGAGAUGGCAUUUCUCAGGAUCAAUUCAACAAGAAGAGCUAACUAUCCUAAAUAUAUAUGCACCCAAUACAGAAGCACCCAGAUUCAUAAAGCAAGUCCUUAGUGACCUACAAAGAGACUUAGACUCCCACACAAUAAUAAUGGGAGACUUCAACACCCCAUUGUCAACGUUAGACAGAUCAACAAGACAGAAAAUUAGCAAAGAUAUCCAGGAAUUGAACUCGGCUCUGCACCAAGCGGACCUAAUAAACAUUUACAGAACUCUCCACCCCAAAUCAACAGAAUAUACAUUCUUUUCAGAACCGCACCAUGCCUAAUCCAAAAUUGACCACAGAGUUGGAAGUAAAGCACUCCUCAGCAAAUGUAAAAGAACAGAAAUUAUAACAAACUGUCUCUCAGACCACAGUGCAAUCAUACUAGAAUUCAGGAUUAAGAAACUCACUCAAAACUGCUCAACUACAUGGAAACUGAACAAUCUGCUCCUGAAUGACUAAUGGGUACAUAACAAAAUGAAGGCAGAAAUAAAUGUGUUCUUUGAAACCAAUGAGAACAAAGACACAACAUACCGGAAUCUCUGGGGCACAUUUAAAGCAGUGUGUAGAGGGAAAUUUAUAGCACUAAAUGCCCACAAGAGAAAGCAGGAAAGAUCUAAAAUUGACACCAUAACAUCAUAAUUAAAAGAACUAGAGAAGCAAGAGUGAACACAUUCGAAAGCUAGCAGAAGGCAAGAAAUAACUAAGACCAGAGCAGAACUGAAGGAGAUAGAGAUAGAAAAAACCCUUCAAAAAUCAAUGAAUCCAGGACCUGUUUUUUAGAAAAGAUCAACAAAAUUGAUAGACCGCUAGCAAGACUAAAAAGAAGAAAAGAGAGAAGAAUCAAAUAGACACAGUAAAAAAUGAUAAAGGGGAUAUCACCACCGAUCCCACAGAAAUACAAACUACCAUCAGAGAAUACUAUAAACACCUCUGUGUAAACAAACUAGAAAAUCUAGAAGAAAUUGAUAAAUUCCUCGACACAUACACUCUCCCAAAACUAAACCAGGAAGAAGUUGAAUCUCUGAAUAGACCGAUAACUGGCUCUGAAAUUGAAGCAAUAAUUAAUAGCUUACCAACAAAAAAAAGUCCAGGACCAGAUGGAUUCACAGCCGAAUUCUACUGGAGGUACAAAGAGGAGCUGGUACCAUUCCUUCUGAAACUAUUCCAAUCAAUAGAAAAAGAGGGAAUCCUCCCUAACUCAUUUUAUGAGGCCAGCAUCAUCCUGAUACCAAAGCCUGCCAGAGACCUCUGCCCUUCUUGCCAGCCAUAUAGUGGAGUCAGCAUUGCAACCACAACACAGAUGCAAAGUCAAUUCAUACCCUCUCACACACAACUACACACCUCCAGCUGAAGAACUGAUAGUAGACUAUUGGACAUCCAGGCUAAUGUUCUCCUUUCAAUGUCUUCCUUAGGGAGCAAUAGUGUAGGUUGGGGAAUCUCUCCCACAUUGAUGGCCAUUUUAUUUUUAUUUUUAAAAUUUUUUUCCAACUUUAUUAAGGUAUAAUUGGCAAUUAAAAAUCAUAUAUAAUUAAAUAUUCAGGCUGUAUAACUUGAUAAUUCGAUAUACAUAUGCAUUGGGAAAUAAUCAGCAGAUUUGUGAAUUUUGACAUAUAUAUAUUCGCGUAAACACCACCACAAUCAUGGUACUUAGAACAGUCCUAUCACUCCCCAAAACUCCCUCACGCUAUGCCUUUAUAGUCACAUCACUAUGGCAAUCACUGAUCUGUUCUCCAACACUAUGGUUUUGGCUUUUCAAGAAUGUAAUAUAGAUAAAAUCAUACUGUAGGU
Long non-coding RNA from Pan troglodytes (chimpanzee), 2063 nucleotides. RefSeq lists it as uncharacterized. The transcript is spliced from 3 exons. The record is from RefSeq and is a predicted model, not a curated record. NCBI's taxonomy places the organism in Eukaryota, Metazoa, Chordata, Mammalia, Primates, Hominidae.